RNAcentral lists this ribosomal RNA (377 nucleotides) under uncultured eukaryote. RNAcentral's name for it is "partial 18S ribosomal RNA". It matches the Rfam family "Eukaryotic small subunit ribosomal RNA", at positions 592 to 976 of the family's 1831-position model. The record is from RNAcentral.
CAAUAGCGUAUAUUUAAGUUGCUGCAGUUAAAAAGCUCGUAGUUGGAUUUCGGGUGGGAAUGGCCGGUCCGCCGUUUCGGUGUGCACUUGCUACGCCCACCUUGCUGCCGGGGACGUGCUCUUGAGUUCACGCUCGGGACACGGAGUCGGCGAGGUUACUUUGAGUAAAUUAGAGUGUUCAAAGCAGGCCUACGCUCUGAAUACAUUAGCAUGGAAUAACACGAUAGGACUCUGGCCUAUCUUGUUGGUCUGUAGGACCGGGGUAAUGAUUAAGAGGGACAGUCGGGGGCAUUCGUAUUUCAUUGUCAGAGGUGAAAUUCUUGGAUUUAUGAAAGACGAACUACCGCGAAAGCAUUUGCCAAGGAUGUUUUCAUUAA